This 72-nucleotide transfer RNA is filed under the name Chloroflexota bacterium. Its description in RNAcentral is "tRNA-Gln". It matches the Rfam family "tRNA". From Rfam's summary of the family: Transfer RNA (tRNA) molecules are approximately 80 nucleotides in length. Their secondary structure includes four short double-helical elements and three loops (D, anti-codon, and T loops). Lineage: Bacteria; Bacillati; Chloroflexota. The record is from RNAcentral.
UGGGAGAUCGUCUAAUGGUAGGACAGCGGCCUUUGGAGCCGUAUAUCCAGGUUCGAAUCCUGGUCUCCCAGC